UAACGCGUGGGCAACCUGCCCCAUAGAGGGGGACAACAGCUGGAAACGGCUGCUAAUACCGCAUAACAAGGAGAGAGCGCAUGUUCUUUUCUUCAAAGAUUUAUCGCUAUGGGAUGGACCCGCGUCUGAUUAGCUGGUUGGUGAGGUAACGGCUCACCAAGGCGACGAUCAGUAGCCGGCUUGAGAGAGUGGACGGCCACAUUGGGACUGAGACACGGCCCAGACUCCUACGGGAGGCAGCAG
RNAcentral lists this ribosomal RNA (243 nucleotides) under uncultured bacterium. RNAcentral's name for it is "partial 16S ribosomal RNA". It matches the Rfam family "Bacterial small subunit ribosomal RNA", at positions 111 to 354 of the family's 1533-position model. The record is from RNAcentral.